This is a non-coding RNA of Oryctolagus cuniculus (rabbit), 958 nucleotides long. The record is from RefSeq and is a predicted model, not a curated record. NCBI's taxonomy places the organism in Eukaryota, Metazoa, Chordata, Mammalia, Lagomorpha, Leporidae.
GCGGUGGUGAGCCACACCGCAGCCGCUUGGGCAUGAGCCACUUACAGUGAGCACGCUCGCCUGGUGCUCCUUCCAAGACUGAAUCAAGAGUGUUUUAAGUUCAAGUGCGCUGGGCUCGCAUCAGAUGUGAUUGAAGGGGAGCUACUCCUGGCGUCUCUAAGCAGUGGGUGAAGAGCCAGCUCCAGGUGCCAGAGGGCCCAUCGACAGAGGGGCGCUCACCACGGGGCGCCCCCUUCUUCAAGGACAGGGCUUGAAAGCAAACUUCAGAGGGAUCAGACUCCUCCCCGCCCCCACCCAGCAAAGGCCUCGUCCCAGGGAAGCCACUGGCGGGGUCUCAGCCUGUCUGCGCCCGGUGUGAGCAUGAGCCUUUCCUAAUUCUGCAAAUGCCGUGACCACAGGUUCCGCAGCCCCUCCAGCCUCGGCGGCCACACCUCCCCACAGGGCGCGGAGGGUCCCUCACUGACCUGUCUCUCCAUCAUGCUUCUCUUCUGCCCACAAAAGGAGUGGGGAGUGGGAAGGGGUGACUGUGGGGCUUUGGCCGAAUUGUCACCACCAUACGCCAUAGGGAAGUGCUCGGUCCCAGAAGCUGCUGUUCUCAGAAUUCUGGAUCCAGGGCUGCCAUGUGUCCUGGGCAUUGCACAACUCCAGGGCGGGAUCUGCAAACUUGUACUUGAUGGAUGCUAAGAGUUUGAGACAGAUGGUAAACAUUUCAGGCUUGGCAGGCCACCCACGCUGUCUGUCUCUCAACUACGCAAGAGUGCUGUUGUGGUGAGAGAGUACUCACAGAUGACACAGACACGAAUGGGUGAAGCUGUGUUUCAAUAAAACUUUAUUCGUGCUGGGCUCCUAAGCUGUGGCUCCGCUUAGCCCUGUCCACCCUCUGGGCCCCUGUGAGAAGCCAAUGCCAUACUGGAGGGGUAUUUUCAAGAAGGCAGUAGAGGGGCUGGUACUGUGGCAC